Non-coding RNA from Aegilops tauschii subsp. strangulata, 1243 nucleotides. NCBI's taxonomy places the organism in Eukaryota, Viridiplantae, Streptophyta, Magnoliopsida, Poales, Poaceae. The record is from RefSeq and is a predicted model, not a curated record.
UAUUGUGCUUGCAGCUUGAGAUGUACUUGGUCCAAAUGAAAAUCAUCAUUUUGAAGGGCAACUUCGCAUGGAAUUAGGAUCACUUAAUAAGGUUCUGGUUUCUUUUUCAAAUUCACUUGCUUUAUGCAUGAACCUAUUAUAGAUUUGUUGGUGUUGAUUUGCAGUAAGAGCAAAUGUAAUAUUGUUCUCAUCAAUUUCUUUCAUAGCAUGUGUAAUGCGUUAUAACAUCAGUUUCAUUGGAUUGGAAAAGGUGAUAAACAUGCAACCAUUCUUACUCGAUGAUAUGAAUACUUCAGGAGCAAUGGUGGCAUUUGUUUGCACAUUAGUAUUCCAUUAUGUAGUAAAGGAUAUGGUCUGGUAGUCAUUCUUUAUCGUUAUAGUUAUUGUCAAAUGGUGGAAUAUUGCUGCCUAGCAGCUCUGGUUCAUGUGUGUGUGAAAAACAAUGUAAAAUCUUUUUUGUUGCCGUAGAAUCUCAUGAGUCGUAUGAAAAAGAAGGCUAGGAUAUUUAUAUUUUUUAAUUGUUCAGCUGCUUGUGUUACAGAUCUGGGCAUACCUUUUGUUUGAGAUAAAUUUGGGCAUAAAUUGUCACGAAUAAAUGGGUGGCGUUGGGUCAAGGUUCAGGAACCCAGGGGCAUCAUGCUUCUUUUGAGCCACAUAGGGAGAAUUACAUCCAUGUAUUAGAAAAACUAGGUGCCCGCUUAAACAGAAAAAAUACAACUCUUGCUGACCGGGAGCUUCAUGGUAGUGUUUAGAAUUUAAUCAGAGAUCCAUGUACAGGUUGAUUGUUAUGAAACCAUGCGAUGGAAUCUUGAUGUUGACAAUGUCCAGAAAUCUGAUUCGUCAGAGACAAAAUCCAACCUUAAUUCCCCCAUUCAGAUCAUGAAAUAUUGGGGUUAACAGUUUGCGAUGUAAGAUGGGUUGAGAUCAGCUUUACGUUAACUUUCUUUUGUUCAAAUGUUUUCUUUUGUUUUGAAACCUUAAUGUUUUCUGUUGUGGGGUGACAAUGUCUGGGUUUAUGCUAACAAGCAAGAAAAAAGUUACAUGCAAUGAGUUCCCAAUCUUGAAAUAUUGAAGCAUAUCUUGGAACGACGGAGUUCUCAAUCUUCAUGGUAGAUGAUGGGACACUGGAUGCUGAAGUUGCUUAUUGUCUCGCGUAGAACAAUAGCAUGUCCUUAUUUUUUGCUAUGUUUUGCCCAUGUUGAUUACGAUGGCAUUGUUUUGAACAUUCUAUCUGUGUUGAUAA